Long non-coding RNA from Micropterus dolomieu (smallmouth bass), 488 nucleotides. RefSeq lists it as uncharacterized. The transcript has 4 exons. Lineage: Eukaryota; Metazoa; Chordata; Actinopteri; Centrarchiformes; Centrarchidae. The record is from RefSeq and is a predicted model, not a curated record.
UCAUUUGCAUAUGGACAGGUAGGCAGACUGUGAGCGUGGGAGAAAAUAGUUUCGGCUGUUCCGCGAACACAUCGACCCCUGGCAGGAUUAAGAGUUUUCUCUAUUGUCCUGAGUAAUUUCUUUGAACCAGUCCAGUUACCACAGAACACGUCGUGCAUCUCACCUGGACGCGCAUUAACUGGCAGCGGCAGCCUCGUGAGCUGAGAAGACACCGGUUAAACAGGUGAAGCAGCACCCGCUGCAUUCCGAUGAUGACAUCCCUCUGCCAUUUGUAUCUAACUGAUGCUGUGAAGGUUCAGAUGUAAGAACGUAGGACUAACACACCUUGAUACCUUAAAUUCCUCAGGAAGGAAGAAAAGGAGGAUGGAAGGAACAUACAGGCCCAGUGCAGAGGAGAGGAAACAGACAGGUUCAGGGGGAACUGAAAAACCUGGCCUGCCACUACCGUUGCCCAAAGAGGAACGCCUCAUAUGAUGAACAUAUAGAAG